RNAcentral lists this ribosomal RNA (504 nucleotides) under uncultured bacterium. RNAcentral describes it as "bacterial SSU rRNA". It matches the Rfam family "Bacterial small subunit ribosomal RNA", at positions 8 to 511 of the family's 1533-position model. The record is from RNAcentral.
AGAGUUUGAUCCUGGCUCAGGAUGAACGCUAGCGGCAGGCUUAACACAUGCAAGUCGAGGGGUAUCACGCUUUCGGGCGUGAGAGACCGGCGCACGGGUGCGUAACGCGUAUAGAACCUACCUUUUACAGAGGGAUAGCCCAGAGAAAUUUGGAUUAAUACCUCAUAAUAUUGUUGAAUGGCAUCAUUUGACAAUUAAAGCUCCGGCGGUAAGAGAUGGGCAUGCGUGCCAUUAGCUAGUUGGUGAGGUAACGGCUCACCAAGGCAACGAUGGCUAGGGGUUCUGAGAGGAUUAUCCCCCACACUGGUACUGAGACACGGACCAGACUCCUACGGGAGGCAGCAGUGAGGAAUAUUGGACAAUGGGCGCAAGCCUGAUCCAGCCAUGCCGCGUGCAGGAAGACGGCCCUAUGGGUUGUAAACUGCUUUUAUACAGGAAGAAACACUCCCUCGUGAGGGAACUUGACGGUACUGUAUGAAUAAGCACCGGCUAACUCCGUGCCAG